Non-coding RNA from Mauremys reevesii (Reeves's turtle), 86 nucleotides. Lineage: Eukaryota; Metazoa; Chordata; Testudines; Geoemydidae. The record is from the annotation of a RefSeq genome assembly.
UCUUGGGGACCCUGAGUGGUCCGGGGUGCAGGCUUCACACCUGUAGCUGUCUAGCAACAGAGUGGUUCAAUUCCCCCUCCUGAGGG